GUGUCAGCCGCCGCGGUAAUACGUAGGUGGCGAGCGUUGUCCGGAAUUACUGGGUGUAAAGGGCGUGUAGGCGGGGAUGCAAGUCAGAUGUGAAAUACUAAGGCUUAACCUUGGGGCUGCAUCUGAAACUGUGUUUCUUGAGUGUCGGAGAGGAAAGCGGAAUUCCCAGUGUAGCGGUGAAAUGCGUAGAGAUUGGGAGGAACACCAGUGGCGAAGGCGGCUUUCUGGACGACAACUGACGCUGAGGCGCGAAAGCGUGGGGAGCAAACAGGAUUAGAUACCCUGGUAGUCCACGCCGUAAACGACGGAUACUAGGUGUAGGAGGUAUCGACCCCUUCUGUGCCGGAGUUAACACAAUAAGUAUCCCACCUGGGGAGUACGGCCGUAAGGUUGAAACUUAAAGAAAUUGGCGG
This 413-nucleotide ribosomal RNA is filed under the name uncultured bacterium. RNAcentral's name for it is "bacterial SSU rRNA". It matches the Rfam family "Bacterial small subunit ribosomal RNA", at positions 505 to 916 of the family's 1533-position model. The record is from RNAcentral.